AACAAGGAUUCCCCUAGUAACGGCGAGCGAAGCGGGAAGAGCUCAAAUUUGAAAGCUGGCACCUCCGGUGUCCGCGUUGUAAUCUCGAGACGUGUUUUCCGUGCGGCUCCAUGGACAAGUCCCUUGGAAUAGGGCAUCGUAGAGGGUGAGAAUCCCGUACUUGCCAUGGAAGAACCGUGCUUUGCGAUACACGCUCUAAGAGUCGAGUUGUUUGGGAUUGCAGCUCAAAAUGGGUGGUAGACUCCAUCUAAAGCUAAAUAUCGGGGAGAGACCGAUAGCGAACAAGUACCGUGAGGGAAAGAUGAAAAGCACUUUGGAAAGAGAGUUAAAAGUACGUGAAAUUGUCGAAAGGGAAGCACUUGAAGUCAGCCAUGCUGCUUGAGACUCAGCCUGGCCUUUGGGCUUGGUGUAUUUCUCGGUGGCAAGCCAGCAUUGGUUUGGGUCGUCGGAGAAGCGCAUAGGGAAUGUAGCGUCUCCGGACGUGUUAUAGCCUUAUGCAGGAUACGACGACCUGGAUCAAGGAACGCAGUGUGCCCUCUGGGCGGGUCUUCGGACACCUUCACACUUAGGAUGCUGGCGUAAU
Molecule: ribosomal RNA, 583 nt
Filed under: uncultured Malassezia
Lineage: Eukaryota; Fungi; Basidiomycota; Malasseziomycetes; Malasseziales; Malasseziaceae
Description: LSU rRNA
Rfam family: Eukaryotic large subunit ribosomal RNA
Source: RNAcentral